Non-coding RNA from Heterocephalus glaber (naked mole-rat), 497 nucleotides. NCBI's taxonomy places the organism in Eukaryota, Metazoa, Chordata, Mammalia, Rodentia, Bathyergidae. The record is from RefSeq and is a predicted model, not a curated record.
CACCCCGCCCCUUCCAGGCGCGGGUGUGCCGUAGCCUCAGCCUUUGCUCCUAACCCGGAAGCUACAGAUCGCUGUUGAGAGUUUGAAUUUGUCUCUGGGUGUUGCACAGUGCUGUGUGGUGGAACACCUGCCUGAAAAGCAAAUUACCUGGAAUGCAAAGAAAACUCGUUCACUGACUGAUUCUUCAGCCUCAUUUACUGUUGUUUCAACUUUAAGGAGAAGCCAGAAGUUGCACGUUGUCAGAUCUCAUGAAUUAGGAUUAGGAUGAGGAUACACCAUAAUGUGUUCAUGAGCUUGCUUUUCUGUUGGAUGGCACUUGGUAGCAGCAUUCACCAUAUUUCUCACCACGCCUCAUAAAGACAUUCAUGAAACAGGACUUCCAAAACUGCUUCAGGAAAUGCCAAGAAUGAUGGAUAAGUAUGUUGGAAGGGGAGGAACUAUUUUGUGGAUGAUUAAUGACAAUGUGUCUUUUACUGUAAUAAACUCUUGAAAUUCAA